AUAUAUAUAUUCCCAUCUCAAAAAAAAAGCUCAUGGUGUUUCCCAGUUUUAUGUGAAAAUUGUUGUUUUUUUGCAGAAAUCAGCAACCCCACCCCAUUGAUAACAUAAAGAGUAAACCUUUAAGUUGCAACUUCAUCACCACCUGUAGCCAUAUCAUCUCUGGAGUGUUAUUGGAAUUUUGAAUAUUUUCAAAGCCUGAUCAAAUCAUCAUACCAAGCAACAAAAAUCGGUAGGUAAUAAUUAGAGAAACUUUUCUUGAAACAUAUUUUAAAGUUAAACAAUAAAUCACAAACCUUGCUCUAUCUUCAAGAUUUUGAGAACUGGCUAUGGCAGCCUGCAUAUGAAAAUGUUACUGAAUUCUAGUAGAAAGAUAGAGAAGGAGGGGCGAGUGGUGGACCAAAAUUCUAAAUCUAGUACCAUGAAUUCAAUGAAUGCGUGUCGCCAACAGCCAAACAAUGGAUUUAAUUAGUCAAACUUUGACAUCCAACAUGACACUUCCAUAUAAAUAUCAACUUAUUAGGACAUGUGAGCUUUAAUAAGACAGAACCAAUAAAUUAUGUUAGUACACUAUGUAGUAUUCUUUUUCAUAUUGGAAAAUCCAAAUCUAUAAGCAAACAAAAAUGCGAAGAAAAACAGAUAAUUCUAUCCCCAGUUGGACAUCCUUUUGGAAGAAAGAUUUAUUGUUCCAGAAAAAAUUUAAACCAAAUUUGGCUCAUAACACUCGUAUACAAACUUUAGCCGAGAUGAAAUUGAAAAACCCAAAACAGCACAUACCUUAAGCUUCAACGAUGUCAAAAAGCUGAACGAUCUCGAUUCCACAAAUAUCUUGGAGUAACGUUAGGGUAUCGGGAUGAACUAAAAUGACCUGCAAAUUAAGGAUACUGGAUAAUUAAAGAUGUCUUUCCAACCAUGUAAUCAUUCAACAAACACCAGUAAACAUCGUAAUUGACCUCAAAUCAGUGAUUACAAUAUUAAUUACAUUACAUAUAUGGAAAAUCAAGGAGUUAGAUAGACAAACCUGCUAUUGCCAAGGAUUAUGACUUUGAGAGGCAUACUACGAUGGCAACACUUAUUCAGGGGUGAGAGGUGGUAUGUGAUGAUAUCUAGUUGUGGUGAACAGCGUAGGGAGGCAGAUGCUAGGGCUUCUAGUAUAUCAUGAAGGUGUUGCUGGUGAGGGAAAGUAAUGGUUGAUGGUUUAAAGUUAGAAUGAUUGAAAUAAUGGUUGAAGGCGGUGUUAUUUGGCUACUACUUUUAGGUUUUUGGAUUGAACUUGGAAGAGAUAGACAUAGAAGAUGGCAAAAGGAAGUGCUUGGGGUCAGAUCGACAAAAAUAGAUCGAUAUAGAUGAAGCAGUGUCGCAUCGGAAAUAUUGUGAAAGAUAAGAGCGGGUAUUGCAUCGGAGAAGUGUGCUGGGAUGGAAAGGAUCUAUGGGUGAAGGCGGCUUGGAGAGAUCCGGUGGGGAUCAUAGAUAGGGAUAUAAAUGUAGGGAGACCACCGGAAAGAACUGACGAAGGGGUGAUAGACUUUAGGGCUAUACGACUUUGAGAGACAUUGGCAGCCAUGUUUCGGGAGGUGAGUGGUGGUGAAGAUUAUCUGCUAUGGAAGAGAGAAGAAGAAGAGUUGUGGUAGUGGUGGCUACGUUAGAGCAUCCGGUACAUUGCACGAAUCGGUCCGUGGUCUACUUGGCCACGAACCACGGCCGUACACACCACCCCGGUGGUUCGUGCUGGCUCGUGGUCGUGGCCAUCCGUGGCCCGGACAACGAACCCAAACGCCCAAUCAAUUCGUUUCUUGUGUAGCCGUUGAUUUGUAUCCGUUUAC
RNAcentral lists this long non-coding RNA (1820 nucleotides) under Lactuca sativa (garden lettuce). RNAcentral describes it as "long non-coding RNA (LSAT_LNC006185)". Lineage: Eukaryota; Viridiplantae; Streptophyta; Magnoliopsida; Asterales; Asteraceae. The record is from RNAcentral.